GAUGAACGCUGGCGGCGUGCUUAACACAUGCAAGUCGAACGGAAAGGCUCCUGCUUGCAGGGGUACUCGAGUGGCGAACGGGUGAGUAACACGUGGGUGAUCUGCCCUGCACUUCGGGAUAAGCCUGGGAAACUGGGUCUAAUACCGGAUAGGACGAUGGUUUGGAUGCCAUUGUGGAAAGUUUUUCGGUGUGGGAUGAGCUCGCGGCCUAUCAGCUUGUUGGUGGGGUAAUGGCCUACCAAGGCGUCGACGGGUAGCCGGCCUGAGAGGGUGUACGGCCACAUUGGGACUGAGAUACGGCCCAGACUCCUACGGGAGGCAGCAGUGGGGAAUAUUGCACAAUGAGCGCAAGCCUGAUGCAGCGACGCCGCGUGGGGGAUGACGGCCUUCGGGUUGUAAACUCCUGUCGCUAGGGACGAAGCGCAAGUGACGGUACCUGGAGAAGAAGCACCGGCUAACUACGUG
RNAcentral lists this ribosomal RNA (465 nucleotides) under uncultured bacterium. Its description in RNAcentral is "partial 16S ribosomal RNA". It matches the Rfam family "Bacterial small subunit ribosomal RNA", at positions 28 to 507 of the family's 1533-position model. The record is from RNAcentral.